ACAUUGUUCUGGAAGCUCCGUGGUUUAAGUCUUGUCAGAGAUUAUGUGCCUAUAUAAGUUGCACUGCUUUGAGAGAAGUUAGCACUUCUAAAUUGUUGUCUGAAUUUUGCAAACUCCACCUAAAGAUGGCGAUGUGGAAUGGUGAAGAACUUUAUGUUCCACGUGUGGAGGACAAGAACUGUAACAUGCGAAGUGUUCAACAUCUCAAGUGUUGAUGAUCUAAUUGCCAACUCCAUGAAUAUUUUAGAGCCAGCACCUGUGGACGCUGAUGGAAAUGAGCGAGAGGAUGUGUUGCAGGCAAAUGAGCCAGUGGAUUUACUCCUCUUACCUGGUAUUCUGUCAUCUUUCCUCUUCUGUUAAU
Molecule: long non-coding RNA, 361 nt
Organism: Pistacia vera
Lineage: Eukaryota; Viridiplantae; Streptophyta; Magnoliopsida; Sapindales; Anacardiaceae
Exons: 3
Source: RefSeq, a predicted model, not a curated record